GUUGAAGUGGCCAAGAAGGAGUUCUUUACUCUUUUUCUUCCUUUGUUACGAGUACACAUAACAUGCAAAAACUUGGUUGGACGGAGAAACACAGCUAUUAUCCGUUUUCAAGUGAAUACCGGCUGUUUUAUUUAAAAUGGAAUGCCAUGAUCGCUUCCUUCUAAUGGACCAUUCACACGUACGACGUUACAUAAGACAAAAUGAGAAUUUACAACUCUGUAUAAUGAGCACUAACUUACAUUCGAACCUGAUGAUGACCAUACUAGGCUGAAACACGUCGUUCAACAAAAAUAAACUAAUGAACAGUGACUGAGAAUUAUCAUCAAGAAUCAACAGAGCACGCCGCGGGACUACAUUGCAGGACCCUGAUCAAAUUUCAGUUUUCAGUCAGUGUUUUUCACUGACAGUCUCCGCGGGUGACGAUGGAUAACGAGGACAGACAGAGAAAGGAAGACUGCAAUUGGGCCAUCGUCCUCCCGCUCCAUUCCUGAGUAUGAUAGGCCACCCGUCGCAUUGUGUUAGGGAGAAUGAAAUUAAAGCCCCGGUGAUCUGUAAUAUGCGGGGGUGAAUAUCUGGUCGCUCAUGCGAGAUCAUAUGCCGGGAAAAUUCGUUUUCAGGUCGGAUGGGAAACUGAUUAGCCGUUCCACGGCACAAGAGACGCACAUCUGGCAACCCUGUGAAGGUCCCAUAUGGAACAUUCAGAGAACUAAUUCCAUGUACAGAGAAUCGGACAAUACCAUCAGAACAGUGUGAUUAAAAAUAUAAAACUUUA
Long non-coding RNA from Zootermopsis nevadensis, 772 nucleotides. RefSeq lists it as uncharacterized. Lineage: Eukaryota; Metazoa; Arthropoda; Insecta; Blattodea; Termopsidae. The record is from RefSeq and is a predicted model, not a curated record.